This 1120-nucleotide ribosomal RNA is filed under the name Bacillus pumilus. RNAcentral describes it as "bacterial SSU rRNA". It matches the Rfam family "Bacterial small subunit ribosomal RNA", at positions 339 to 1449 of the family's 1533-position model. Lineage: Bacteria; Bacillati; Bacillota; Bacilli; Caryophanales; Bacillaceae. The record is from RNAcentral.
CUACGGGAGGCAGCAGUAGGGAAUCUUCCGCAAUGGACGAAAGUCUGACGGAGCAACGCCGCGUGAGUGAUGAAGGUUUUCGGAUCGUAAAGCUCUGUUGUUAGGGAAGAACAAGUGCAAGAGUAACUGCUUGCACCUUGACGGUACCUAACCAGAAAGCCACGGCUAACUACGUGCCAGCAGCCGCGGUAAUACGUAGGUGGCAAGCGUUGUCCGGAAUUAUUGGGCGUAAAGGGCUCGCAGGCGGUUUCUUAAGUCUGAUGUGAAAGCCCCCGGCUCAACCCGGGGAGGGUCAUUGGAAACUGGGAAACUUGAGUGCAGAAGAGGAGAGUGGAAUUUCCACGUGUAGCGGUGAAAUGCGUAGAGAUGUGGAGGAACACCAGUGGCGAAGGCGACUCUCUGGUCUGUAACUGACGCUGAGGAGCGAAAGCGUGGGGAGCGAACAGGAUUAGAUACCCUGGUAGUGCACGCCGUAAACGAUGAGUGCUAAGUGUUAGGGGGUUUCCGCCCCUUAGUGCUGCAGCUAACGCAUUAAGCACUCCGCCUGGGGAGUACGGUCGCAAGACUGAAACUCAAAGGAAUUGACGGGGGCCCGCACAAGCGGUGGAGCAUGUGGUUUAAUUCGAAGCAACGCGAAGAACCUUACCAGGUCUUGACAUCCUCUGACAACCCUAGAGAUAGGGCUUUCCCUUCGGGGACAGAGUGACAGGUGGUGCAUGGUUGUCGUCAGCUCGUGUCGUGAGAUGUUGGGUUAAGUCCCGCAACGAGCGCAACCCUUGAUCUUAGUUGCCAGCAUUCAGUUGGGCACUCUAAGGUGACUGCCGGUGACAAACCGGAGGAAGGUGGGGAUGACGUCAAAUCAUCAUGCCCCUUAUGACCUGGGCUACACACGUGCUACAAUGGACAGAACAAAGGGCUGCGAGACCGCAAGGUUUAGCCAAUCCCACAAAUCUGUUCUCAGUUCGGAUCGCAGUCUGCAACUCGACUGCGUGAAGCUGGAAUCGCUAGUAAUCGCGGAUCAGCAUGCCGCGGUGAAUACGUUCCCGGGCCUUGUACACACCGCCCGUCACACCACGAGAGUUUGCAACACCCGAAGUCGGUGAGGUAACCUUUAUGGAGC